Molecule: long non-coding RNA, 689 nt
Organism: Ornithodoros turicata
Lineage: Eukaryota; Metazoa; Arthropoda; Arachnida; Ixodida; Argasidae
Exons: 3
Source: RefSeq, a predicted model, not a curated record
UAGCACCCAAACCGCCAUGCAAACCACGAAGGCAGGCAUGUCUAUCGAAGCUACUGCUUGGCAGGAAACUGUGAGUAGAAAACCGCAUGAAUAUUUGUGAGCGACAGCCUUCCUUUACCGAAGCGCUGCCAUUUUGCAACACGGAAAGCAUUGGUGUCAGAUCGAGCAGCACUCUUGAGAACGGCGAGCGCAGAACGCAUCGGACAGGUAAUUGGGUGCUUGCUGACAGUACUGCCGAGACGGACCAGUGGCUAUGCUGCCGCUACGACGGCGCACUGUGUGACACAGAAGACGUCGAUUCCGUUCAGCUGCCAGCGGAUUUUGAACUCUGUCUUCUCCAAUGACUUCGAUCUGCAACUCCUGCACAAACCAACAUCGAAGCAGGAAGCUCUGUAAUUAUGAUGGGCACAAUGUUCAAACGAAUACAAAUUGGGGAGCACACAUGAUAGGUAAUUAACCUAAUUUUUUUUUUACCUUUGCAAGGUAUCCCAGAGUCUCGGGAAAGGGCAAAGAAGCGUUCGUUCAUUUCUUGCGUUCAACUGUUCUGUUCAUUUGUCUUUUCCCAAAGACUCAGAGAUAUGUUGCCAAUAUCAACUAUACAUCAACUCACUGUCAUAUUACACACAUAUCCAGUCUUAUUUUCUGAUUUGUCAUUCAUAAUAGUGUUCUGCUUGUAUAAACAUCUUUCU